Molecule: long non-coding RNA, 920 nt
Filed under: Hordeum vulgare
Lineage: Eukaryota; Viridiplantae; Streptophyta; Magnoliopsida; Poales; Poaceae
Description: long non-coding RNA (HVUL_LNC000348)
Source: RNAcentral
ACAAGUCGUCGCCGGCACCACACAACGCUGCUUCAAGGACCUCUCUAGCACCACACGGAUGGGGAAGAAGACUGCAGCAAAGAGACCCCGAGGACGCACCAGUGGUACAGUCUUCUUAACCCAUCCCACGCAUGCCUACUUCUUAUUCAUGCGUAUGUAUGUCGAAUGGAUGUGUGGUAAAAGCAUUUUGCUUGUGCUUGAUUUCAAUUGCUAGUGUUUCUUGUUCAUUAGAGUUAUGGUUGUAUCUACGAAAUAAGGGUCUUGUGCUGGCAAGUGUAGAUUUGGGUCACAUAUUGUUGCAAAUUUAACUACAAGAAUAGUAAUUUUUUAUUAUGUACAGAUUAUACACAUAGUAAUUAAUAUUCAUGUCUUUACUUAGAACCACCGGUGAAUCCUUUGGAAGAGUUGCGCAUCAAAACAUGCAUAAGGAACAAUUCAAUGUUACAAGCACUCGGAAUUCCUGCACUAUCAACAUUGUUUGCAGCUAAUACUGUCAUUUCACCUGAAAAAACACUCAAGCAUAGUAGAGAUGAUUCUGAAGCUGAGUACCAUCCUAAUGAGGACAAUACGAGUGAAGGAGAGUCAUCUGAUGAUAGUUUAGUAGAUGAAAUAGAAGGUCUGCAGUCCACACCUGCUGCUAGCUCAAACUCUAAGGUGCUAAUUUCCUAUCUAGUCAUUCAUUUAUUAUAUAUGUUGCUUGUUUGCCAUUACAACAAAAAUUUAUUACAAUUUGUUGAUUGAACCAUGUUUUCAUAUCUAUCAGGGCUAUAAGAAGACUAGUCAGAAAACUAGUAAGAAAAGAUCUCCUGCCAUGCCUCCUGGUGGAGUCAAGCCUCGACCUCGUAAGGGAGUUCAUGCGGACCUCCCAACUAAUUCACGAGUCACAAGGUCGAAGAAAGCUAUAUUACAAGAUGUUGAAG